Non-coding RNA from Gossypium raimondii (Peruvian cotton), 107 nucleotides. Lineage: Eukaryota; Viridiplantae; Streptophyta; Magnoliopsida; Malvales; Malvaceae. The record is from Rfam.
AUUCCAUGAUAAGGGCACUUUUGUAAUAAUUCUUUGUACCUUCCCCGUGCCUCAUACAGGGACCCAUCUUCCAUUUUUUGGAAGGCAGUGAUCUCAUUCCUCAACUU